ACAAGCCAUGCAUGCCCGCACACCCGGGAGGCGGCGGACGGCUCAGGACAACGGUUGCACCCCCCGCGGCGGUCCCUGCUAGCCGGACACCGCUGGCAACCCGGCGCCAAGACGUGCGCGCAAGUGCGGGCGCCCGCGGG
RNAcentral lists this ribosomal RNA (140 nucleotides) under Giardia duodenalis. RNAcentral's name for it is "Giardia intestinalis partial 18S small subunit ribosomal RNA". The record is from RNAcentral. Lineage: Eukaryota; Fornicata; Diplomonadida; Hexamitidae.